UCAUGUAUCUACUUUUCCUGCCUUUUCAGUGAUUGUCACUUGCACACUUGCAGGUCUUCCUUCGGUUGUCUUGCUUUCUUGUGGGUUCAUGUAUUUACUUUUCCUGGCUUUUCAGCAGUCUUCGUUCUGUUUCUUUCUUCGGUUGUUCUCCAGUUCUUUCUUCGGCUUGCCGCGGGUGGUUGGGGUGUUUAUCGGUGAGUUGGUGGGUUUAGGGGCUUUCGUGCUGUCUUUGCUUCGAUUUUCUUGGCCGUUGCUCUUGCUUUUUGUAGGUUCAUGUAUUUGCAGACGAUCUUGAGUGAAGAAAGCGAUAAUGGAAGAACAUACGUGCUUCGACUACCUCGGGCGUCGAAUCAGAGCCGAUUUCUCUGAUCAGCUCAUCUCUUCCCAUGCUAUCUCCGAUUCCGCCCUCCCCUUCUCCUCCACCGCCGUCGUUCACGUGCACAAAUACAGCAAGACGAGUGCACAUAUCUAUUUCCAUUGGUUUCUAUUUCGAUUGAAUUGAACUCUAUGGACUGUGUGUAUGUCUCUUUGUUUAAACUGUGCAGAUGCCGAGUUCGGCUUCCCGAUUCAUUGUGGUACAGCUAGCUCACGAUGGGCAUCAGUGCUUGAACAAUUAUAUAUGAAGAAAGAAGAAAUUUGGGAGAGGCGACAGCAAAGGCUUCACUCGACGAAAAAAAGAGACAAUGGAGAGAUCAAGGUCUCAAGAAAUUGGAAUUUUUAGAAAGAAGCCUGCUCAUUUGUUGUAAAUCUUCAAGGUAUGGUUUGUUUGACGCAAAUUACUGUUGUGCGGAUUUUGGGAGUUUGAGAUUUAUAUUUGUAUUUAGAAAGAAGCACACUGAAAAUCCAAAGAAGGUGCACAACAUCCUUCAUAGGCCUCCCCUUUACGGUUGUUUUCUCUCUCCUUUUCCUUGGUUUUUCUUUUGUUUCUUGAUGCAGGUCUCUCUCAAUUUAUUAUCAGCGCUCCUCUUCUUCACAAGAAGAACCCCCAUGACGAUUCAUGAUCCAGGCCAGGUUCAUCUUUGAAUAUUCACUUUCCGUCUCUUUUUACAUAAUGAUUGCUUUGUUCUUAAAGAGAUGAAGUUGAUUGGUUUUUGAUUAUUUUGCUUAUGUUAUUGAAAAUCUAUUUUUCGGGAAAUUGUAAUUAUUUCUAUAGAAUAGCUUUUCAUUCCCCAACUUUUUCACGUAAAAUCAACUGAAAGUAUUGUCAAAUCGAUACAACUUCGCUGUCCUGUAAAAAUGAAUCCACGCAUAGACAGAAACUGGUAAAAAUCCUAUGAAUAGUACACAAAGCUGUAGGAUCAAAGUAAAGUUCUUCGAGAUGUAUUGAUUCCGUACAGAUCGAUAAUCCAAUAAAUAUUCCCGACCGUACGCAUAGAUAGAGGAGGUCAGAGAAGAAGUUAAGAGCACAGCGAACCAUAGCUCAAAGCCAAAUAGCAAAACAGCAGGCCUGCGAAGAAGAUACUCCAAUUAUCAUCGAUUCUCUAUAAACACUUAUUAGUCAUGCCAAUAUCUCCAAGGCUGGUGGAUCUUCGAUUGACUCACUUCUAUGUCUCCCUUUUCUGCUUCUUUCCAGGGAGCUUCGGUCUUUCGUAUUGGGCAUGAGGCAGAGGAAGCUAUCAAUUAUUUCCACAAAUCUUACCUUGACAUUUGCAGAAACACAUGUGAGGUAUGUACCCACCAUCAUUCUUUCUUUGUUAUGUUGUCCUUCUCUCUUUCUUCCUUCUAUUCAUUUUCUUUACGAAGACUUUGAAUGCUUAAGUUUUAAAGUGUUUUUUUUACAUCUCUGUAUAGCGCAACAAAUCCCUCAUCUAUUGUUUCCUAAUAUAAUUUAAAAUGGUUUUCAUGUCCUUAUCUUGGCAUGAUCUCAGGAGUCCUUGGUUGGGUUGUGUCGGUCACAUUGGAGCGUUUCUGUGCGAUGCUGUCAUAAAUGUAAUGCUAAUUGGGCAUCAAACUGUCUCUUAUUACAUUACAUAUGUAUAAAUUUGAAAAAAUUGGGGCGUUUCUGUGGCGAGUUGAGGGUCCUUUUUUGUACUCUCGCCAAUGGGCUUAGUUUUACAGCAGUUGUGGCCAGGAAACGAUGUCCCUUUUACAGCACUGAUUGUGUUACGAGCUAUAUCGCUGCUUAGAUGUUGCCAUGAAAUCUAAUCAGAUGUGAGGAGAGUGCUUCGUAGUGCAUGCUAUUAGGGCUUUUUUGUGGCGAGUCCCACUGCUUUUCAGCUGAGCUUCAUCUCUGAAGUUGAGUGUCUCUUGCUUCGAGGCUGCUUUUUUUUCUUACUAGGAAGUCAGGUCCAAGCUCUCCAAUGUUCAACAGGAUCAUCCGUGAUUCAUCCACAGAUGAGUAUUCCAAUAAUAAAUCAGCUGCUCUGAUGGAAAAUCCAUUGUUUUCGCAAGUGGACGAGGCGAAGGUCACAGUGGGAUCCCUAACUCCAUCCUCCUUGCCAGUUUUAACUUCGAUUACAGUUUUAUCUUUGCAUAGCCGGAGAGGCUCAUUCACUUGGAGUAAAAGAGCUAUUGUACGAGGAAAAAUUAGAAUACCAAGAGAUCUUGGUUUUUAAGUCCUCAACAUAUGGGAAAGUGCUUGCAAACAGACUGAAAUUCAUGUAUUUCCAACAACCACGCACAAAUGGAAGAGCCUAGAGGAGCGACUUAACAAAUUGCAGGUUCUUCUUUACAGGUGAGGUGAGGACAUGAUUGAUAAUCUGGAGGAUGGUUACACAUAGAGAAAAUAUGGACAAAAGGCUGUCAAGACUGCUGUUCUUUUGUUCCGUACUAUUUUUUUUUGUUCUUGGGUUCAGCACUUAGCAUGUGUUUGUGCUCACUAUUCUUUGGAUAUUUUGGACAGAUCAGUAAAACUAAAGAUGACAUAGUGAAGCUUUUUGACAGUAUUGAACAAUAUCGUAUGUUUGUUAUCUGCUAUACUUCCUUUUUGUCCCAAA
Tripterygium wilfordii is the source of this 2936-nucleotide long non-coding RNA. RefSeq lists it as uncharacterized. NCBI's taxonomy places the organism in Eukaryota, Viridiplantae, Streptophyta, Magnoliopsida, Celastrales, Celastraceae. The transcript is spliced from 7 exons. The record is from RefSeq and is a predicted model, not a curated record.